GACAGAGGGUGCAAACGUUGUUCGGAAUUACUGGGCGUAAAGCGCGUGUAGGCGGCUUCGCAAGUCGGAUGUGAAAUCCCGCGGCUCAACCGUGGAAGUGCAUCCGAAACUGCGUGGCUAGAGUCCCGGAGAGGAAGGUGGAAUACUUGGUGUAGAGGUGAAAUUCGUAGAUAUCAAGUGGAACACCGGUGGCGAAGGCGGCCUUCUGGACGGUGACUGACGCUGAGACGCGAAAGCGUGGGUAGCAAACAGG
This 253-nucleotide ribosomal RNA is filed under the name uncultured bacterium. Its description in RNAcentral is "partial 16S ribosomal RNA". It matches the Rfam family "Bacterial small subunit ribosomal RNA", at positions 524 to 776 of the family's 1533-position model. The record is from RNAcentral.